RNAcentral lists this ribosomal RNA (351 nucleotides) under uncultured Sphingobacteriales bacterium. RNAcentral describes it as "bacterial SSU rRNA". It matches the Rfam family "Bacterial small subunit ribosomal RNA", at positions 1030 to 1382 of the family's 1533-position model. Lineage: Bacteria; Pseudomonadati; Bacteroidota; Sphingobacteriia; Sphingobacteriales. The record is from RNAcentral.
UAUACAAGGUGCUGCAUGGUUGUCGUCAGCUCGUGCCGUGAGGUGUCGGUUAAGUCCCAUAACGAGCGCAACCCUAUCAUUAGUUGCCAUCAGGUCAAGCUGGGGACUCUAAUGAAACUGCCUACGCAAGUAGUGAGGAAGGUGGGGAUGACGUCAAAUCAGCACGGCCCUUACGUCCAGGGCUACACACGUGCUACAAUGGCCGGUACAAAGGGCAGCUACCUGGUGACAGGAUGCUAAUCUCAAAAGCCGGUCUCAGUUCGGAUCGGAGUCUGCAACCCGACUCCGUGAAGCUGGAAUCGCUAGUAACCGCGCAUCAGCCAUGGCGCGGUGAAUACGUUCCCGGGCCUU